AAGACCUUGCGCUUUUGGAGCGGCCGAUGUCUGAUUAGCUAGUUGGURGGGUAAUGGCCUACCAAAGCUUCGAUCAGUAGCUGGUCUGAGAGGACGACCAGCCACACUGGGACUGAGACACGGCCCAGACUCCUACGGGAGGCAGCAGUGGGGAAUUUUGGACAAUGGGCGCAAGCCUGAUCCAGCCAUGCCGCGUGAGUGAAGAAGGCCUUCGGGUUGUAAAGCUCUUUCAGCCGGGAAGAAAAGGCUACGACGAAUAAUCGUAGCUCAUGACGGUACCGGAAGAAGAAGCACCGGCUAACUACGUGCCAGCAGCCGCGGUAAUACGUAGGGUGCGAGCGUUAAUCGGAAUUACUGGGCGUAAAGGGUGCGCAGGCGGUUUUGUAAGUCAGAUGUGAAAUCCCCGGGCUUAACCUGGGAACU
RNAcentral lists this ribosomal RNA (423 nucleotides) under uncultured bacterium. RNAcentral describes it as "bacterial SSU rRNA". It matches the Rfam family "Bacterial small subunit ribosomal RNA", at positions 207 to 622 of the family's 1533-position model. The record is from RNAcentral.